This 77-nucleotide transfer RNA is filed under the name Verrucomicrobiota bacterium. RNAcentral's name for it is "Verrucomicrobia bacterium tRNA-Pro". It matches the Rfam family "tRNA". Rfam says of the family: Transfer RNA (tRNA) molecules are approximately 80 nucleotides in length. Their secondary structure includes four short double-helical elements and three loops (D, anti-codon, and T loops). Lineage: Bacteria; Pseudomonadati; Verrucomicrobiota. The record is from RNAcentral.
CGGGCCAUAGCGCAGCCUGGUAGCGCACUAGCAUGGGGUGCUAGGGGUCGAGAGUUCGAAUCUCUCUGGCCCGACCA